GACGAACGCUGGCGGCGUGCUUAACACAUGCAAGUCGAACGGAAAGGCCCUGCUUUUGUGGGGUGCUCGAGUGGCGAACGGGGGAGUAACACGUGAGUAACCUGCCCUUGACUUUCGGAUAACAUCAGGAAACUGGGGCUAAUAUCGGAUAGGAGAUCCUGCUGCAUGGUGGGGGUUGGAAAGUUUCGGCGGUUGGGGAUGGACUCGCGGCUUAUCAGCUUGUUGGUGGGGUAGUGGCUUACCAAGGCUUUGACGGGUCGCCGGCCUGUGAGGGUGACCGGCCACAUGGGGACUACGAUACGGCCCAGACUCCUACGGGAGGCAGCAGUGGGGAAUAUUGCACAAUGGGCGGAAGCCUGAUGCAGCAACGCCGCGUGCGGGAUGACGUCCUUCGGGUUGUAAACCGCUUUCGCCUGUGACGAAGCGUUAGUGACGGUAAUGGGUAAAGAAGCACCGGCUAACUACGUG
Molecule: ribosomal RNA, 468 nt
Filed under: uncultured bacterium
Lineage: Bacteria
Description: partial 16S ribosomal RNA
Rfam family: Bacterial small subunit ribosomal RNA
Source: RNAcentral